AUUGAACGCUGGCGGAAUGCUUUACACAUGCAAGUCGAACGGCAGCAUAGGUGCUUGCACCUGAUGGCGAGUGGCGAACGGGUGAGUAAUACAUCGGAACGUGCCCAGUCGUGGGGGAUAACGUAGCGAAAGUUACGCUAAUACCGCAUACGAUCUAAGGAUGAACGCGGGGGACCGAAAGGCCUCGCGCGAUUGGAGCGGCCGAUGUCAGAUUAGGUAGUUGGUGAGGUAAAGGCUCACCAAGCCGACGAUCUGUAGCUGGUCUGAGAGGACGACCAGCCACACUGGGACUGAGACACGGCCCAGACUCCUACGGGAGGCGGCAGUGGGGAAUUUUGGACAAUGGACGCAAGUCUGAUCCAGCCAUUCCGCGUGCAGGACGAAGGCCUUCGGGUUGUAAACUGCUUUUGUACGGAACGAAAAAGCUCUUACUAAUACUAGGAGUCCAUGACGGUACCGUAAGAAUAAGCACCGGCUAACUACGUGCCAGCAGCCGCCGCCG
Molecule: ribosomal RNA, 502 nt
Filed under: uncultured bacterium
Lineage: Bacteria
Description: partial 16S ribosomal RNA
Rfam family: Bacterial small subunit ribosomal RNA
Source: RNAcentral